This is a non-coding RNA of Zonotrichia albicollis (white-throated sparrow), 9042 nucleotides long. The record is from RefSeq and is a predicted model, not a curated record. Lineage: Eukaryota; Metazoa; Chordata; Aves; Passeriformes; Passerellidae.
UUAAAAAGUGUCAGGAGGCUUCUCACUGGCCGGGAGGAUGAAACGCAACUUAAAGAUGUUUUGAGUGACUCAGACGACAGACGUAAGCUUUGGUCCAAGACACGCUGAAGGAAUCAAUAACCUUUCCUGUUCUUUCUUUUCCUUGAGGUGAGGCCUGUCUGUUCUGAGUUGUGAUGGGGCGCCUGCUGCUGUGUUCCAGCAGCUGGGUCGAGCUCCGGGAGCUCGGGCAGCCCUGGCUCCGGGCUGGAGGAGCUGCUGGACCCUCGGUCCGCAGGAGAAAGGCGGAGCCGAGGACAGGAAUCCUUCCCGGCCCUCAUCCAUCCACCUGGAGAAAGGAAUGGCUGUCCUGCCCCGCCGGCUGUGCCACUGGAUGGCAGCAUUGGAUGCGGCUUGGCAGCGCCGAGCUCCGGUUCAGCCUCGUUAAACAUCAGCCCGUUUGCUGCGAAGAACCUGGAGUGAGAUGAGUGGUGAUGAUUCUUUCUCUGGAGUGUGAAUCCUGGUGGUACAUCGGGUACAUCCUGACAUAUGACUUGUACUGCUAGGAAAGGACACAGGAGAGAAGAGAGUCCUCUGCUUCAGCUGAAAUUAUUGCACGGGGCUGGAAAAAAGUAUUAUUUGUAGAAAGUAUGCAAGGAUCAGCAGUAAAUGAAUUUGAAGCAAAGGUGAAGCAAACUUUCAAGAAAUACCAUGAAACUGCAAACUGGUGAUUACACUACACAUGAAGGCUUAUGCUGUGCAAGUGCAUCAAAUCAGAGAUCAAACUAUGCUUUUUCCUUUGCUGAGAUGCAUCCUGCAAAUCCUUAUGCUUGGAUCACAGGAAAGUGACACCUUCUACUCCUGAAAGCUUCUCAUGGGGUUUGGGAUCCAUCUCCCUUCUUUGCCAGCUGAACGGAGCUCACGUGGCCUUCACUGACUAAAGUCCUUUUCCCACUUCAAUGAGUAAGAACGCAGAUUAAUGCAAGAGAAAGAAGUUUUUCUGAAAGGCAAUCAGCUACGUGUCCCAUCAACUACAGGGAUCCUUCAACUUUCAUGUUGAGAGCUGAGAUUAAUAUCUACCCAUCUGGUUAACUUUAACUUUGGGAAAUUAUGUUUGGGCCUAAUUAUUUUCUCUAUCUCCUCCAAAAUCGAAUGACGUUUAUGCAGCUAGAUAUACUUUGUUAAAUCAAGGGGUUUUUUUACUUUUUUGGUCUAGCUGAUCAAAAUUAAUAGGAAGAAUUCAACAAAAAGCUGACCUAGACCUUUCAAAGUCAAGGACUCCUUAUCCUUCUAUCACAAGUUAUAAGCAUUUUGCAGAGAGGAGGGAGGAUUCCUUUUGAAGCAAGAGGAAACAAUUUGUCAGGAUGAUUUCCAGAAGUCCUCUUAGUUUAGCAAAACAGUUUGACAACAGCAAGGUCAGUAACAGUGCCUUGCCAAGUGGCUCUGCAUCUACUGUGGUUGAAAAUGAAUGGCAAAUUGUGGAAAUCAGUAAUGCAAAACCCAAUGCCUAUAGUGUGUAAAUAUAUUUCUUCUCAGGAUAAGAUACAAUGUGAAUAUAAAAUGCAAAACUAGCUCAAGUUGAAUAUAAACAUGCAAAUAUUUAGUUUAGAAAGAGAAGCAACAGGAAAGUUUAGUAAGGAAUGUAAAAUCAAGCAUUGCUUUGCAGCAUUCUGUACAAUAGAUUUAUAAAUAUCCCAUUUAUAUUUGUGAAUAUAAACACUUUCGGUGCUGGAUCAUUUUACAGUGAUUUUCUUUUUAAAUUUUAGUCCUUUAUUGUAUCAGUAUUUCAAACACAGGAAAGUCUGAUUCAAACCUUGUCAGUAAUUUUUUUCAAAUAACAGGUUUGACAACUCAAUUUUCCUGUUACUGAUUUACUUUAAGAAUUUUCAAAUCACCAAAGUGUAUUUAUUAUUCCUGUGUUUAUUGUGACCCAUGUUUUAGUUGCCAAAAUGCAAGCAGAUUCACAGUCUUAGUUACAUUUCAACACAGUAAUUGCUAAAUCAUUUAGGAAGGAGGAAAUAAAAAAGUCCCAUAAGCAGUUGUUAUUAUGCGUGUGUAUUUUUAAUAUCUGAUUUUCAGCAUAACCUUAGAUUACAGUGCAGGUUAAAUUUCCCUUGCUGAUUUGUAAGUAUAAUGUAAACUCUAGGCACAGCUAAUGAUAUUGCAAUAUAAAACUGUUCUGUUGCAAAGUAAAGACCUUGCUUAGCACUGCAAAGCUCUGGGUUCAUUUCAAUGUGAUCAUUCAGGCGCUAUGGAGGGAUUAUGCUUUUAUUGUAUUUUGUUUCAUGAAUACAUGAAUGAAUAAUAAGUUCAACAAACAAGGGUUCCCUACUGGCUAUCUCAAAGAAAUCAUUUUGCAACGUGUUAUGAAUUUCAAUCAAUCAUCCUCAACAGUCCUUGUCCUGCUGAGGUCUGUGCAUUAACCUAGUCAGCAUUUUUGGAACUAUUGUGAAUAGCUUGGUAUUUGAUCAGAAUGUCCACGAUCAGGAAGUUGAAAAGGAGUGCUAGAGAAGAAGCAUCCUGUCUAUAUUGCAUAAUUUUUUGUACCUACUUUUCCACACUUUUCAAGCUUUGAUUGUAUGGUAGUUGCAUGUCCAGGACAUGCCCUUGCUUUGUGUGACUUGUCUUUCAAUUUUCUCUAUUUUCUUUUCUCUAUUUUCCUUAAGAAAGAACUAAAAAAGUAAUUAUGAACCACAAAUACAUAUAAAUGCACACACGUACCUGUAAGGUUGUGAUUCGGAAAAAGAAGGAUGAAAAUGUACAAGAAUGUGGACUAUGUUUAAGAGUACUGUUUUAUCCCAUCUCUCUGGAAAUUUAUCUGUGUAUAAGGUAAGGGUAAAAUACUAAUUCAUUUAAAUUGUGAGAGCAAGAAUAAGAACAUUGGUAAGAAGGUCAGAACUUUGCAAUAUUUGCAUGUAGGAUGGCAUCAGUAUCAAAUGAUCAAUUUCUGAUUUAUGUCUUUUACAUUAACUAGUGAAAAUAAAUAACAUAGUACAUGAUAACACCGUACAAUGCAUGCCUUAUUCCUGGGGCUAAAUGUCCUGUGGAUGCAUCAAUUAGGAAUUUAAAAACCCUCAAAAUGUUUAUAAGAUUUCUGAAAGGAGAGAUGGAGGAAAAUCAAAGAUCCAUUCUGAUGCAAUCCACAGUCUAGUAUGGUGUAUUUAAUUCUGUGCCUUGUCCCAACUUCAUCCCAUCUCUUCUUCUGAGAGGGACAAAGUUUUUCUCUCUAUUAAUUCUCUAUACUUCCCCCAGCCUUUCCUUUCUCAGGUUAUUACUGAAGUAUCUUGAUUUUUGUUGUUUUUUAAUAAGAACAAAACCUACUUAUGUGCCAUAAUUUUGCUUAAAAUAUAUGUUUACUAACUUUUGUAGCUAUUCUUAAAAAAAACCCAUGCCAUGUAAGUGCCAGGCUAUAUCUCUGCAAAUUGAAAAUGAUGGCUUACCCUCUACACUUGUCAGAGAAAAAUAGUUGUGCCAACAAGUAGUUAUUUGACAGCUUGCUGCUGUUUACAGGUUGUUUGUUCUCCACAGCUGGUAAGUAUUGCUCUUGCAUCUUCUCUUUUUCACUAAGAAGUGACUGCAGGGCACAGAUCUGUUCUUUCAAUACUCUUAUAGAAUCAUAGGAUGAUUUAAUUUGGAAAAGACCUCCAAGAUAUCGAGCCCAAUGGUUAACCCUGCACUGUCAAGUUCAACACUAAACCAUGUCUCUAAGUGCCAUAUUUACAUGUCUUCUAAAUUGCUUCCAGGGAUGGUGACUCCCAGAUUGUUGAAGGGCUUGAGAACCCUUUUGGUGAAGAGAUUUUUCCUAAUAUGCAGUUUCAACCUACCCUGGAGAAUCUCAAGGCUGUUUCCUCUUGUCCUGUCACCUGUUAUUUGGCAAAUGUGGCAGACCUCCACCUGGCUACAGCCUCCUUUCAGGCAGCUGCAGAGAGCAGAAGCUUCACCAGCUCUGUUGCUCUGUUGCCCUCUGGAUUCACUUGAAUACCUGAGCAUCUUUCUUGGCCCAGAAAUGGCCCAGAACUGAACACAGGACUUGAGGUGUGGCCUUGCCAGUGCUGACUACAGGGGUAUGGUCACUGCCCUGGUCCUGCUGGUGGCACAAUUGCUGAUCUAGGCCAGGAUGCCGCCAGCUUUCCUGGCCACCUGGGCACAGCUGGCCGGGAAAUUCAGCCAAUGCUGUCCGUUGCCCCCGAUCAUUGUCCACCAGGCAGCUUUUCAGCCCCUCGAGCACUGCCUGGGGUUGUUGUGACCCAAGUACAGUACCUGGUAUUUUGCCUUAUUGAACCUCAUCCACUGGCCCUCAGGCAUGAAUCCAGCCUCUGCAGAUCCCUCUGAAGAACUUUCCUGCCCUCCAGCAGAUCAGCAUUCCAUCCCAACCUACUGUCACCUGCAAAGUGACAGAAGGGGCACUCCAUCCUCUCAUCCAGAUCACGGAUAAAGAUAUUAAGUAAGUCUAGUCCCAACACUGAGCAACACAGCUGUUGACCAGCUGCCAAUGGGACGUGGCACCAUCACCUCCACUCUCUGGGCACAGCCACACAGCCAGGUUUCACCCAGUGCCCCUGUCCAAGCCUUGAGCAGCCAGUUUCUGCAGGCAAGUGUUGUGGGAAGUGAAGUCAAAGGAAACAACAAAGCCCUGGUAUACACAGCCAUAGCCUGUCAUCUGUAGCUUUUCUAUCGUCCAUUAAAUAAGUCCCCGUGUCAUAGAGGGAGAAUUUGGUCAGUCACGACCCAUCUUUCAUAAACUGGCACUUGCUGGUCCUGAUCCUCUGGCUGUGCUGCACAAUGGCUCUCAACGUGUCUGCUCCAGGAUCUUCCCCUGCACUGAGGUCAGGCUGACAGGCCAGACCUUCCAUUCUGACUCUUCUUUUAGAUGGGGGUUGUGCUUGCUAACCUCCAGUUCACUGGACCCUUCCCUCUCAAAGUGUCUUAGCAAGCACUUCCUCCAGCCACAUCAGUACCCCUUGAGCAGGAGAGGCCACUUAAACUGAGUGGUGAAAAUAUUGGCUUUAUUUAUAGGCUGCAUAACACUUGUGUGGGAAUGCCAAAGAUGGAACUUCUCUUGAAGACUGUCUUGCUCUUAUAAAUACCGAUCUAAGCUCCACUGACAAUACUUGUGUUUAUAUUUAAGUAGUAAACUGGGAGGAUGGCCCUAAGAACUAGUUCUAAAAUUUUGGUUAUUAGGUGUAAAUGCUGCUAACUUUUUGAGUUCCUUUGUCUCAUCUUAGGCACUUUGAAAAGUGUGGAUGUUUGCAUGGAAAUGAUCUGGCAGAUAAAGUGUGUAAAUCCAAUCUUUUGGAUGUACACAUUUGGACUUGCACUGAAGUAUUUGCAAAGUGGUCUCUGCAGGUGAUACAGUCAUGUUGUCUGAAUAACACUGAAUAACAAGUAAUGUGUUUGUCCUUCUGAUAUGGCUUUUUUUUUGCUUACAUUGUAGAGUUGAUGUUUUGGUACCUACUUGGCAGAGAGAAUUACGGAAUUGUGAAACAAACAUCAUUUACUGAUACGUUGACUAAUUUUGUCUUGUCAAAAUUGUCAAAUCUCUUCAAAGCGAUUGUCACCACCUCUUUGAUGUGGCACUCUGUUCCAUAUAUAGACACUGUUCACAUAAAUUGUGUCACAUGAUGCUUUUUUUUUACCUCUGCCAUUUAACUCCAAAAGGACUACUUUGUCUUAAUUAGUGAUCUAGUCAAUUUUAUAGGUUGGCCUCAUUUCAUGCUCUCAUUAUGUUUUUCACUUGUGUCAUUCCCUUUAAUUGUAGAAAAAACCCUUACAUUCUUUAAUAUUUUUGGGAGCUAUUUUCAAUCUUAUUGUUAUCCUUUUUGCAAUCUAUUGACCAAACCAGGUAAAUUUUAUCUGUUGCAGUCUUGUUAAUGCCAAAAUACAUUAAUCAUUACAAUACAAUUUUCUUCAAAGGAUGUCCUUCCCUUUGGUAAUUUCUUAGCCUUGUUUACUGAGAAACUCCUCUGUUCAGGAAUAAUGCAGAAAGACCAUUUCUUCCCACUAGAGGACAAAGAUGAUAUAUGCUCCUGGGUAAUAAACUUAGGCAUUACAAAAAACUGCAUGCAUGCCCAUUGGGUGUUCUGUGAUUAACCUCAUUAGAAACAUAUUUUUCUCAAUUUUGCAUGGCUAGUAGGACUCCAUUGUACUGGAGAAAGAGCUACUAGAAUUAUGGAGUCCGUUUGCUGAUUUAAUUUCUUUUCCUUCUCCUUUGUAAACCAUCUACAAGGAAUCACAUCUUAACACUUGUCACCCCUUUUUGAAGCACUAGCUAGUCACAUAAGUCCUUGAAGAGCUGGGCUCUUCUCUUUAUAAAAGCUUUGUUUCCCCCAGAAUAUUUCAGAGUUCUCUCACAUACUUUGAGGUUUGAGCAUCUUCUUGGUGCAUGGAUAAAUACCACCUAUGCUUAUUUUUUACAUCUAACAGAAUAGAGUCAUAGAAUGGUUGGGGUUAAAAGGAAUGUAAAGAUUGUCUUGUAACAAACUCCCUGCCGUGGAAAGAGACCCUUUCCACUAGAGCAGAUUGCUCAAAGCCCCAUCCAGCCUGGCCUGGAACACACCAGGAAUGGGACAGCCACAAUUUCUCUGGGAACAGGUUUCCCAUCAACCUCAUGGUCAAAAAUUUAUUAGUGAUAUCUAAUCUGAACCUCUUCUGGGAGCAGGUUUAAAAUAAUUUAAAUCAAAAAUGAUUUCAAAUAAUUCUUUCUUGUCUUGUCACUGUAUGCCCUUGCAAAAGAUCUCUUCCCCAUCUUUCCUGUUAGUUCCCUUCUAGAAGGCCAAAAUUUGGUCAUCCUGAGGCUGUCUCUUCUCUAGGCUGAAUGAUUUCUAUUCACUCAGUCUUUCCUCAUAGCAGAAGUGCUCUAUCCCUCUAAUCUUCCUGGCUGUCCUCUGGAGUCACUCAAACAGGUCAAAACAGGUCCAUGUCCUUCCUCUGCUGGGGACCCCAGAACUGUACACAGCACGCCAGGAGGGCUCUCACCAGAGCAGAGCAGAGGGGCAGAAUCCCCUCCUCACCCUGCUGCCCACCCUGCCUUGGUUGCAGGACACAUCUGGCAGUGUGGGCUGGGAGUGCCCAUGGCUGGGUCAUGCCCAGCCUCUCCCCCACCAGCACCCCCCAGUCCUUCUCAACAGGACAGUGCCUUGCAUUUGGCGUUCUUAAACCACAUGGAAAUUCCUGGACCCACUUAUUUUCCAGCUUUUUCUGGCCGGCGUUUUAUCCUUCAGCAGUCUUGAAGGAACUCAGCUUGUUGUCAUCUGCAAAUUUGCUAAGGGUGCAUUUGAUCCCUUCAUCUAUGUCAUUGAUGAAGAUGUUAAAUAACGCUGGUGCCAGUACAGACCCCUGAGGGCACCACUUGCCACUGACAUCCUCUGGGACUCUGAGUCACUGACCACCACCCUCUGGAGAUGACUAUCUAUCCAGAGUUCCCAGGGUAUCCCAUUGACUGUCUCCUUGAUGAGACAGAAGUUUGCUAAAGUUCAGGGACAUAUCUUUAUUUGACCUGAAAGCUUGAGGACUGCAAAUUCCACCUGCAGGCCAGGCUGUCUCCAAUCCUGAUGUCCUCAAUUAACUCGCUUACACUGCUGACCAAUAGAUCUAGAAACGCAUCCAUUCUCUAGGGGUGUGUACUCUGUGACCCACGAAGAUAUCCUCUGUCUCCUGGAUUGCCUAGACCUUGCCAUGGUGAUGUCCCAGUACCUUAUGUAAAACCAACUGCAAAGGGAGCUGCUGUAUUGAAGAGCUCACAGCCUUGUUGGCAGCCAUUGAAUGGGGCAAGAGCAUUAGUGUCAUAUGGAGCAGGAAGGAGCUAAGAAAAAAAAGGAGAUUAAAUGACUGUCAGAAAGAAAUCUGUAAUAAAAUUGUUUGAACUGGAGAAAAAUCUUCCUGAAUCAGGCAAUCUCACAGUUCAAAUAUGUUUCAAAGUGUUUUCCCUUAGAGAAAGGAACCAGAUACUUGUUGGCAAUACGCUCCCCUUUUUAACCACUUGAAGUAACAAAUGCUUCUGGAUAAUGCCCUGGUGGAUUCAUGCGGAUGACUCCUGUUUUGCAAGGUGCAUAGGGUACACUGUACAAAUUUACUAGCAUAAAGUAAAUUAGAUAGAAAUACCUUUGUGCACUGAUCAUUUUUUAACUCAUCUUCAAGUUCAAUGAAUUACAUAUUUGUUUGUUUUGGUGGCUUGAGAAAUCCAUUUAUUCUUUUUCCUAUCUGAAGUGGUUUAAACUAAAGCUUUCAUAAUACCCUUCAGUUUCUGUGUUAAAUUGAUGUUUAAAUUGGAAUGAAAGUAGGAAUCUUGGCAGUUUAGAUAAUUUACUUCAUCUGGUGGCCAGCUAUGUUAACAAUCACAUCAUAUGCCAGCAUUUGCACUAGAUGAAAGAAGUCCCUGGGGCACUAGAACUGCAUUUUAGAAGCAGAGUGAAAACACAGUUAUGGUCUUUGUUUCAUUGUUUUAUUCUGUAAAAUGGAAAAUUAUUUUAACUGGAAUUUUUACGUGUUAAACGCGUAAUGUAAAGGUUAUGUUGAGGACUAAUUUGGGUGUAUUUGCCUUGGAAGCUGAAUGACAAUUGAUCAGUAUUCUGGACAGGAAGUGUUCAGCACAAUGUCAGCAAAUUAUGUCUUUUUAUUCUGAUGUAUCAAGCACUUGGAGGAAAUGGUAUAUUGUUAGCAUAUGAAUAACAUCAAAACCCCACAUUGCAAGAUGUAUUUCAGUCUUCUGGAAUAAAAUGCAUGGCCUCCCCUUUAUUUAUUUAAGUGCCUCCCCUUGUAAUACAGUGCAUGCUUGAACCUGAAAGCUAUUUCUUGUCAAAUACAGACAAACUGAAUUUCCGGAUUCAAUUGCUGGUGCAUGACUGCACAUUCCAUCACUUGGCAAAAAAAUUUGUAAUAUCAAAUUGACUUCCUGCUUGCAGAGUAAAAUGUGUUUGAUUAAAAGUAAGGUUGUUGCUGGAACAACAUUGUUGUCUGUGGGGUUUUUUUGGUUGUUUUUUUUCUUUUUUAAGAACAAUUCUCAAAGAAUGUAUUUAUGUCAUCUGUGUUUCCUUGAUACUAUAACUACCCUGCAUGAAAAGUAUGAAU